GCGUCGUCCCAGACACCCGAUGUUACAAGACCGUUAUAAAAAGUCUCAUUUUCACUGUUCUUCGUGCCUCUAAGUCCAUUCUUUGGGUUUGAACGGGUGAGUGUGUUUCUCACAACCUGAGGGCCCGUUCGGGAUCUCUGUGCCUACGUGGAGUGGGACUCCGGCUGAGAGAAGAGACAUGUCCCACCCGAUUUUUGUGCCCCACUCUGUCUGGGUGUCCUGGCUCCCCACAGAAGCCAUAGAUAAACCCGAGACUGUUAUUCAGGAGACGGUGGAGGUGACGCAGGGAGAAAAGCAGGCACUGCGGCAAACAGGCAACCUCGUGCACCAGCCAAGGUUGGGUAUUUCCUUCAGCCUAUUAAAGGAAUUGGGAACCUGUGGUACCGGAGAAAUAGCCUGCAGACCAGAGAAUAAGGAAAAGUUGUUUCCUGCCAAAGAACAAGCAGUAUUGUGAAAUAUAAAAUUUUAUUGUUGCGGUGAAAGAAAAUUUCAGUAUCAAAUUUUUGAAAACACCAUGUAAGAGAUGCCUGCUUUCCCUUCACCUUCCGGCAUGAUUGUAAGUUUCCUGAGGCCUCUCCAGACAUGCUUCCUGUACAGCCUGUAGAACUAUUCUGACACCUCCACUUCACACAAAACACUCCACUUUAGAGUUCCUUGGCCCCUUAAAGAAGUGCCUGCUUCUCCUUUGCCUUCCACCAUGAUGUUAAGUUUCCUGAAGCCUCCCCACCAAAGCAGAACU
This 739-nucleotide long non-coding RNA is filed under the name Homo sapiens (human). Its description in RNAcentral is "HSALNT0327770". Lineage: Eukaryota; Metazoa; Chordata; Mammalia; Primates; Hominidae. The record is from RNAcentral.